UGAAAAGCUAAGAUAAGAAGAAGUAGUAAUUAGGAACUCUAACAGAAAGUAACCGGAUGAUGAGAGGUGCAAGAAAAACUAAUUAUGAAUACAUCUUUGAGCUUCACACCGAAUGAUAUUUAAUCUAGUAGGCUGUUGACGGAUCCCUGCACACGUUAUAGUGCUAGAGUAUUACCAAUUAUAUGGAGUACUUGAAGAGGUAGGCAAUGUAAGUUGUCUAUAAACUUAAGGUGGUAACACGAAGAUUUAAUCUCUCGUCCUUUUG
This 265-nucleotide non-coding RNA is filed under the name Clostridium paraputrificum. RNAcentral's name for it is "T-box sequence". It matches the Rfam family "T-box leader". From Rfam's summary of the family: Uncharged tRNA acts as the effector for transcription antitermination of genes in the T-box leader family. T-boxes are found upstream of many aminoacyl-tRNA synthetase genes and some amino acid biosynthetic genes usually in Gram-positive bacteria. The anticodon of a specific tRNA base pairs to a specifier sequence within the T-box motif, and the NCCA acceptor tail of the tRNA base pairs to a conserved bulge in the T-box antiterminator hairpin. Lineage: Bacteria; Bacillati; Bacillota; Clostridia; Eubacteriales; Clostridiaceae. The record is from RNAcentral.